UGAAGCCUCACAAAUUUACAUAGCUGUAACA
This 31-nucleotide non-coding RNA is filed under the name Rattus norvegicus (Norway rat). Lineage: Eukaryota; Metazoa; Chordata; Mammalia; Rodentia; Muridae. The record is from RNAcentral.